RNAcentral lists this ribosomal RNA (120 nucleotides) under uncultured bacterium. Its description in RNAcentral is "partial 16S ribosomal RNA". It matches the Rfam family "Bacterial small subunit ribosomal RNA", at positions 28 to 148 of the family's 1533-position model. The record is from RNAcentral.
GAUGAACGCUAGCGGCAGGCCUAACACAUGCAAGUCGAGGGGUAGGGGUUGCUUGCAACCUUGAGACCGGCGCACGGGUGCGUAACGCGUAUGCAACCUACCUUGUACAGGGGGAUAGCC